GCAUCCGAAUGUGCACGUUUCUUCAACUCGAAGAAUUUUCUGCCAGAUGUCCCCAUUGGAGGGAGCUGCCUGGAUACGAUACAAUGUCUUGGCGGAGAUGGUGCACAAUGCCAAGACGUCGGUUAUGGACAACGGAAGUGUGGUUGCAUAACAGGAUACGAAGUCAGAAGAUUGCCAUACCACAGACGUACUCACGAUAAAUACGGACAACGUCAUGCCGCUUACCAAUUAGAAUGUAGGCCGGUUGCAACCUGUGAGGACACAUGUGCGGAGAUCACUUGCCCGGUUGGCCAAACGUGUCACUCGAAUGCUUGUGCUGGCACGUGUUUACUCGACGCAGAUUGUACGGACGCAGCUGCACCAGUAUGCUG
Priapulus caudatus is the source of this 371-nucleotide long non-coding RNA. RefSeq lists it as uncharacterized. The transcript is spliced from 3 exons. The record is from RefSeq and is a predicted model, not a curated record. Lineage: Eukaryota; Metazoa; Priapulida; Priapulimorpha; Priapulimorphida; Priapulidae.